This 369-nucleotide RNase P RNA is filed under the name Bacteroidales bacterium. RNAcentral describes it as "RNase P RNA component class A". It matches the Rfam family "Bacterial RNase P class A". From Rfam's summary of the family: Ribonuclease P (RNase P) is a ubiquitous endoribonuclease, found in archaea, bacteria and eukarya as well as chloroplasts and mitochondria. Lineage: Bacteria; Pseudomonadati; Bacteroidota; Bacteroidia; Bacteroidales. The record is from RNAcentral.
AACGGCAUCCGCUCUAUCGCUGGCAUCGCAAGGUGCAAGAGGAAAGUCCGGGCAGCACAGAGUCACCAUACUUCCUAACGGGAAGGGGCGGGCUUCGAAAGGGGCUCGUCACAGCAAGUGCCACAGAAAACAGACCGCCGGCCAAGGCCGGCAAGGGUGAAAACGCGAGGUAAGAGCUCACGACAUGCACAGAGAUGUGCAUGAUGGUAAACCUUAUGGGCUGAAAAACCAAAUAUACCGACAGUUAAGGGUUGACUCGCCCGUUGUCGGGGGGUAGGUUGAUUCAGGCAGCCGGCGACGGCUGUCGUAGAUUAAUGAUAGAGGUUCGCUCCGCGAAUACAGAACCCGGCUUACAGGUUGCCGUUUUUU